Molecule: ribosomal RNA, 484 nt
Filed under: uncultured bacterium
Lineage: Bacteria
Description: partial 16S ribosomal RNA
Rfam family: Bacterial small subunit ribosomal RNA
Source: RNAcentral
GAUGAACGCUGGCGGCGUGCUUAACACAUGCAAGUCGAACGGUGAAGCAGGAGCUUGCUCUUGUGGAUCAGUGGCGAACGGGUGAGUAACACGUGAGCAACCUGCCCCUGACUCUGGGAUAAGCGCUGGAAACGGCGCCUAAUCCUGGAUAUGUGAUGUGACCGCAUGCUCUGCAUCUGGAAAGAAUUUCGGUUGGGGAUGGGCUCGCGGCCUAUCAGCUUGUUGGUGAGGUAAUGGCUCAGCAAGGCGUCGACGGGUAGCCGGCCUGAGAGGGUGACCGGCCACACUGGGACUGAGACACGGCCCAGACUCCUACGGGAGGCAGCAGUGGGGAAUAUUGCACAAUGGGCGGAAGCCUGAUGCAGCAACGCCGCGUGAGGGAUGACGGCCUUCGGGUUGUAAACCUCUUUUAGCAGAGAAGAAGCGAAAGUGACGGUACCUGCAGAAAAAGCACCGGCUAACUACGUGCCAGCAGCCGCAGUAA